This 274-nucleotide ribosomal RNA is filed under the name uncultured bacterium. RNAcentral's name for it is "partial 16S ribosomal RNA". It matches the Rfam family "Bacterial small subunit ribosomal RNA", at positions 523 to 796 of the family's 1533-position model. The record is from RNAcentral.
AUACGGAGGAUCCAAGCGUUAUCCGGAUUUAUUGGGUUUAAAGGGUGCGCAGGCGGCCUUAUAAGUCAGUGGUGAAAUCUCCCGGCUCAACCGGGAAACUGCCAUUGAUACUGUAAGGCUAGAAUACAGACGAGGUAGGCGGAAUGUAGCAUGUAGCGGUGAAAUGCUUAGAUAUGCUACAGAACACCAAUCGCGAAGGCAGCUUACCAGACUGUAAUUGACGCUAAGGCACGAAAGCGUGGGGAGCGAACAGGAUUAGAUACCCCGGUAGUCC